GGUCUACAUACAUAAGCGGAGGAAAAGAAACUAACAAGGAUUCCCCUAGUAACUGCGAGUGAAGCGGGAAAAGCUCAAAUUUAAAAGCUGGCGGUCUUUGCCCGUCCGCAUUGUAAUCUAGAGAAGUGUUACCCGCGUUGGACCGUGUACAAGUCUCCUGGAAUGGAGCGUCAUAGAGGGUGACAAUCCCGUCUUUGACACGGACUCCCAAGGCUUUGUGGUGCGCUCUCAAAGAGUCGAGUUGUUUGGGAAUGCAGCUCUAAAUGGGUGGUAAAUUCCAUCUAAAGCUAAAUAUUGGCGAGAGACCGAUAGCGAACAAGUACCGUGAGGGAAAGAUGAAAAGAACUUUGGAAAGAGAGUUAAACAGUACGUGAAAUUGCUGAAAGGGAAACGCUUGAAGUCAGUCGCGUCGUCCGGAGAUCAACCUUGCUUUUGCUGGGCGUAUUCUCCGGUUGACGGGCCAGCAUCAGUUUUGGCCACUGGAAAAGGGCGGAGGAAAUGUGGCAUCUUCGGAUGUGUUAUAGUCUUCCGUCGUAUACAGUGGCUGGGACUGAGGAACUCAGCACGCCGCAAGGCCGGGAUUUAUCCACGUACGUGCUUAGGAUGCUGGCAUAAUGGCUUUAAUCGACCCGUCUUGAAACACGGACCAAGGAGUCUAACAUGCCUGCGAGUGUUUGGGUGGAAAACCCGAGCGCGUAAUGAAAGUGAAAGUUGAGAUCCCUGUCGUGGGGAGCAUCGACGCCCGGACCAGACCUUUUGUGACGGAUCUGCGGUAGAGCAUGUAUGUUGGGACCCGAAAGAUGGUGAACUAUGCCUGAAUAGGGUGAAGCCAGAGGAAACUCUGGUGGAGGCUCGUAGCGAUUCUGACGUGCAAAUCGAUCGUCAAAUUUGGGUAUAGGGGCGAAAGACUAAUCGAACCAUCUAGUAGCUGGUUCCUGCCGAUCU
RNAcentral lists this ribosomal RNA (945 nucleotides) under Gymnopilus sp. Its description in RNAcentral is "partial large subunit ribosomal RNA". It matches the Rfam family "Eukaryotic large subunit ribosomal RNA", at positions 36 to 967 of the family's 3401-position model. The record is from RNAcentral. Lineage: Eukaryota; Fungi; Basidiomycota; Agaricomycetes; Agaricales; Galerinaceae.